GACGAACGCUGGCGGCGUGCUUAACACAUGCAAGUCGAACGGAAAGGCCCUGCUUUUGUGGGGUGCUCGAGUGGCGAACGGGUGAGUAACACGUGAGUAACCUGCCCUUGACUUUGGGAUAACUUCAGGAAACUGGGGCUAAUACCGGAUAGGAGCUCCUGCUGCAUGGUGGGGGUUGGAAAGUUUCGGCGGUUGGGGAUGGACUCGCGGCUUAUCAGCUUGUUGGUGGGGUAGUGGCUUACCAAGGCUUUGCCGGGUAGCCGGCCUGAGAGGGUGACCGGCCACAUUGGGACUGGGAUACGGCACAGACUCCUACGGGAGGCAGCAGUGGGGAAUAUUGCACAAUGGGCGGAAGCCUGAUGCAGCAACGCCGCGUGCGGGAUGACGGCCUUCGGGUUGUAAACCGCUUUCGCCUGUGACGAAGCGUGAGUGACGGUAAUGGGUAAAGAAGCACCGGCUAACUACGUG
This 468-nucleotide ribosomal RNA is filed under the name uncultured bacterium. RNAcentral's name for it is "partial 16S ribosomal RNA". It matches the Rfam family "Bacterial small subunit ribosomal RNA", at positions 28 to 507 of the family's 1533-position model. The record is from RNAcentral.